UCACGGAGAGUUUGAUCCUGGCUCAGGACGAACGCUGGCGGCGUGCUUAACACAUGCAAGUCGAACGAUGAAGCNCUUCGGGGUGGAUUAGUGGCGAACGGGUGAGUAACACGUGGGCAAUCUGCCCUUCACUCUGGGACAAGCCCUGGAAACGGGGUCUAAUACCGGAUAACACUCUGUCCCGCAUGGGACGGGGUUAAAAGCUCCGGCGGUGAAGGAUGAGCCCGCGGCCUAUCAGCUUGUUGGUGGGGUGAUGGCCUACCAAGGCGACGACGGGUAGCCGGCCUGAGAGGGCGACCGGCCACACUGGGACUGAGACACGGCCCAGACUCCUACGGGAGGCAGCAGUGGGGAAUAUUGCACAAUGGGCGAAAGCCUGAUGCAGCGACGCCGCGUGAGGGAUGACGGCCUUCGGGUUGUAAACCUCUUUCAGCAGGGAAGAAGCGAAAGUGACGGUACCUGCAGAAGAAGCGCCGGCUAACUACGUGCCAGCAGCCGCGGUAAUACGUAGGGCGCGAGCGUUGUCCCGAAUUAUUGGGCGUAAAG
Molecule: ribosomal RNA, 546 nt
Filed under: Streptomyces sp. OB-23
Lineage: Bacteria; Bacillati; Actinomycetota; Actinomycetes; Kitasatosporales; Streptomycetaceae
Description: bacterial SSU rRNA
Rfam family: Bacterial small subunit ribosomal RNA
Source: RNAcentral